AAGUCGUAACAAGGUUUCCGUAGGUGAACCUGCGGAAGGAUCAUUAGUGAAUCUUGGUGGGGGGAUUGUUGAUACUUGGUAUAUAGAAUGGGGUAUUGUACUGUAUUGUACUGUAUUGUACUGUAUUGUACUGUAUUGUACUGUAUUGUACUGUAUUGUACUGUAUUGUAUUCCUUAUAUAUAUGUCAAUCUCAUCCACCCAUCCAUAACAACAUUUGCCUUGGGCACUUUUGUCUAUUUAGUCUGACUGAUUGAUUUUAAUUAGUUUAAACAACUUUUAACAAUGGAUCUCUUGGCUCUC
Molecule: unclassified non-coding RNA, 301 nt
Filed under: fungal sp.
Lineage: Eukaryota; Fungi
Description: partial internal transcribed spacer region
Rfam family: Eukaryotic small subunit ribosomal RNA (bases 1-46)
Source: RNAcentral